This is a small RNA of 292 nucleotides. It matches the Rfam family "5' ureB small RNA". The record is from Rfam.
CAGUACACAACUGCGGACAGAUGAAGUGCACGUGAGCGUCAAAGCCACCAGCAGUUAGAAUCAAACCUUCUCCAGCGAUCACUUCCGUGUUCACGCCGAUAAUCAGGUCGGGCAUGACACCUUCCAUCACAUCCGGGUUGCCACCUUUGCCGAUUCCGGCAAUCAGACCGUCCUUGAUCCCCACAUCGGCCUUAUAGAUGCCCGUGUAGUCCACAAUCAACGCAUUAGUGAUGAUUGUAUCCACAACAUGAGCGGAACUCUUGCCAGACGCUUGUCCCAUGCCUUCUCGCAG